GCCAUUACAAUCUAAACAGCGUGAAAUGUGUCUCAAUAUGAGGCCCACGGUCCCUGCUUUUCACCAGGAAUCACCCGUACAUCUUUUUCUCUAGAAAUUAUCUUAGAAUUUAAAAACUCAAACAAUGAUAUACACAAUACUUGGGAACUUUACAUUACAGAUAGAUAGACAUCCAUACACACACAUUUGCAUUACGCAACUGCUUUACAUUACAGAUAGAUAGACUUCCAUACACACACAUUCGCAUAUGCACACUCCAACCAAACUACUCCUGCACACACACAGAAGCAUGAACAGUCACUGCACACGCGCUUCAGGGUGGGGCCACUUCCGUGCAGAGAAUAUCUAAGGGGCUGGGCACGCUGUUGUACCCAGAGCCAUCUUC
Molecule: long non-coding RNA, 385 nt
Filed under: Homo sapiens (human)
Lineage: Eukaryota; Metazoa; Chordata; Mammalia; Primates; Hominidae
Description: HSALNT0083777
Source: RNAcentral